UUGACCUCAAAUCAGGUAGGACUACCCGCUGAACUUAAGCAUAUCAAUAAGCGGAGGAAAAGAAACUAACAAGGAUUCCCCUAGUAACUGCGAGUGAAGCGGGAAAAGCUCAAAUUUGAAAUCUGGCGGUUCUUGAUCGUCCGAGUUGUAAUCUAGAGAAGUGUUACCUGUGCUGGACCGUGUAAAAGUCUCCUGGAAUGGAGCAUCAUAGAGGGUGAGAAUCCCGUCUUUGACACGGACUGCCUGUACAUUAUGGUGCGCUCUCAAAGAGUCGAGUUGUUUGGGAAUGCAGCUCAAAAUGGGUGGUAAAUGCCAUCUAAAGCUAAAUAUUGGCGAGAGACCGAUAGCGAACAAGUACCGUGAGGGAAAGAUGAAAAGAACUUUGGAAAGAGAGUUAAACAGUACGUGAAAUUGCUGAAAGGGAAACGCUUGAAGUCAGUCACGUCGGCUAGAAAUCAGCCUUGCUCCUGCUUGGUGUACUUUCUGGUUGACGGGUCAGCAUCAGUUUUGGCCGCUGGAUAAAGUCUUUGGGAAUGUGGCAUCUUUGGAUGUGUUAUAGCCCAUUGUCGCAUACAGCGGUUGGGAUUGAGGAACUCAGCACGCCUGCAAAGGCCGGGUUUCGACCACGUUCGUGCUCAGGAUGCUGGCAUAAUGGCUUUAAUCGACCCGUC
Molecule: ribosomal RNA, 671 nt
Filed under: Inocybe griseolilacina
Lineage: Eukaryota; Fungi; Basidiomycota; Agaricomycetes; Agaricales; Inocybaceae
Also listed under: 2 other names
Description: eukaryotic LSU rRNA
Rfam family: Eukaryotic large subunit ribosomal RNA
Source: RNAcentral